Molecule: long non-coding RNA, 291 nt
Filed under: Phoenix dactylifera (date palm)
Lineage: Eukaryota; Viridiplantae; Streptophyta; Magnoliopsida; Arecales; Arecaceae
Description: long non-coding RNA (PDAC_LNC003994)
Source: RNAcentral
CAAAGAUGAACAAUAGAACCCGGAAGAAUCCUUUUGCCGUUGGAAGCGUGGGAAAUGGUGAUUCUUCCGAUGUGGAUCGCGUAGGUUUGAGUGUGAGCUUUGAAUCCCGAGCGCGCGAGAGUGGUUGAGCUUGAAAUCGCUUGGGAAGCUUGAAAGCACUUGACUUCUUCACUUGAAUGCACUCACUUCCUUGAACUUCUCUCUCUUGCUUCUCUCUUAAAUGAUCUAGCUUUUGGGUUUGUGAAGAGUUGUUUUGAAGCACUUAAGAGCUCCCUUUUAUAGCCCAAAAAG